AGCUUUGCGCAGUGCCAGUAUCGUAACAAUGAGGUUUAUCCGAGGCGCUAUUAUUGCUAAUUUAAAACUUUUCCCAAUACCCCGCCAUGACGACUUGAAAUAAUAGUCGACAUUGGCAAUUUUUGACAGUCUCUACGGAGA
This is a small nuclear RNA of Aotus nancymaae (Ma's night monkey), 141 nucleotides long. Its record names the gene U4. It matches the Rfam family "U4 spliceosomal RNA". Rfam says of the family: U4 small nuclear RNA (U4 snRNA) is a component of the major U2-dependent spliceosome. The structure of U4 snRNA from yeast and human has been reported. The record is from Ensembl. NCBI's taxonomy places the organism in Eukaryota, Metazoa, Chordata, Mammalia, Primates, Aotidae.